AGUGGCGAACGGGUGAGUAACACGUGGGUGAUCUGCCCUGCACUUUGGGAUAAGCCUGGGAAACUGGGUCUAAUACCGAAUAUUUCCUUUUGGUCGCAUGGCUGGGAGGGGAAAGCUUUUGCGGUGUGGGAUGGGCCCGCGGCCUAUCAGCUUGUUGGUGAGGUUAUGGCUUACCAAGGCGACGACGGGUAGCCGGACUGAGAGGGUGACCGGCCACACUGGGACUGAGAUACGGCCCAGACUCCUACGGGAGGCAGCAGUGGGGAAUAUUGCACAAUGGGCGCAAGCCUGAUGCAGCGACGCCGCGUGGGGGAUGACGGCCUUCGGGUUGUAAACCUCUUUCAAUAGGGACGAAGCGCAAGUGACGGUACCUAUAGAAGAAGGACCGGCCAACUACGUGCCAGCAGCCGCGGUAAUACGUAGGGUCCGAGCGUUGUCCGGAAUUACUGGGCGUAAAGAGCUCGUAGGUGGUGUGUCGCGUCGUCCGUGAAAACUCACAGCUUAACUGUGGGCGUGCGGGCGAUACGGGCAGACUCGAGUACUGCAGGGGAGACUGGAAUUCCUGGUGUAGCGGUGGAAUGCGCAGAUAUCAGGAGGAACACCGGUGGCGAAGGCGGGUCUCUGGGCAGUAACUGACGCUGAGGAGCGAAAGCGUGGGGAGCGAACAGGAUUAGAUACCCUGGUAGUCCACGCCGUAACGGUGGGUACUAGGUGUGGGUUUCCUUCCUU
This 729-nucleotide ribosomal RNA is filed under the name Mycolicibacterium novocastrense. Its description in RNAcentral is "bacterial SSU rRNA". It matches the Rfam family "Bacterial small subunit ribosomal RNA", at positions 94 to 836 of the family's 1533-position model. The record is from RNAcentral. Lineage: Bacteria; Bacillati; Actinomycetota; Actinomycetes; Mycobacteriales; Mycobacteriaceae.